UAUGUUUUCUAUGUCCGUUUCUACUUACAACUCCAGGCUUUCCCUUCACACGUGCUCCAGAGUUGUCUGAGUUGCUUCCUGAGGACUUUCUACCCAUGCUCUGCCCAACGGUGUUUGGAGGUAAUUUGCUGGAGGAAUAGGAGAGAAACCAGGAAAUGCUUCAGGUUACAUCCUCCAUCACCACCUCCCUGCAGAAACACGCCUCUAGAGGAUGGAGCUUGGUGACAAGGAGGAGAAAACCCAGCCCGCGAAUGAAGGGGAUUUCAGCUCUCACUCAGACCCUGGUCAGGAAAACAGAGCACAUUGUUUGUGAUGGCAGCCUCCACCAAAACGGCUCAGGGGCCAAGUUAAGGCUAAGGAAGAAAUUCAGCCUUCCCAGUGAUGAGAGAUCUGUGUGCUUUCUUCCCUUGCUUCCACUGGUUUCUGUGCAUGCAGUGCUCUGCUUGCUGCAGCCACAUCAUCUGCAAGGUCCCAUUCCCCUUUCUGUCCCAAAGGGGUUGGUGACACAGCCUCUAAUCCUCAAACUGAACAUCUUCAGGGCUGGAAGACUGAAAAUCCCUUCCCUGAACUGUGAGAGAAUCCUGCCUUGCUGGGGAGUUGUUCACAGGCAAAGCGGUUUUUACUGCGUCCAUCAGACGACUUUGGAAAUCAGAUGCAGGAAACAGAUUCAAUGGCUAAUGAUUUGUUUUCCAUCUAUUUAACCUUUGUCAGCGGAUAAACUACAAGGAGUGACAGGACCUGGAUGCAGAGUCCUUGCACACUUAAGCACAUGUGUAAACCUGACUUCUGUUCGAUCUAAGCCUCUGUCUCACAUAAUGCAGGUAGGAUUAGGGGUGUUCACUGUCAAAGCACCUCAGGCAGGAAGGGUUAUGUUUGUGAUGCAGUCAUGGUGGGGAAUACCCAGACGUCUUUGUUCAGCUCUUCUUCACUGUGGUUUCCUGCCUAUGCAGAAACUGGAAUUGAUGCAAUGAGUCAAAGCAAACACAGACUGAACCAUGGGGUUUCUUGCUAUAGAUGGAAACUGACCUCAAAGAGGAUUGCAGCCAAACCAUCCGUUUGCAGGUGAACUCAAACCAGAACGAAGCUCUGAAGCACGGUGAGUAAAUAAGAGUUUAAGCUGCUUCGCACUGCCCAGAUCCUCUCAGAUGGGGAGCCACAGGGCUCCUGACAUGUGGGGUCCCCUAGAGGGGACAUGGCACCUCCCCUUCUUGGCUGCUGGGCAGUGCUGCGCUGUUGGGGUUAGUGGUUGGGAGCUUUCAUUGCUGUCGUUCCCACUGCUCAGCUGUGGAACGAGGGAUGUUGCACAUGCACAAGAGAUCCCCACGGGCUGCAGGAAAACAAUAAGCAGCCCAGGCUGAGUAGGAAGUGGAUGGAAGCCCAACCCAGCAAAGUGACAAGUGAAGCAUUCAGCCUUGGCUUGACCAUGCACCAGUGAUGCUGAUAGCUGGGCUAUCGCCCGUUGCAGCAGGCUUAGGCCAGUCCUGGGAGAAACGCAGUCCUAGAGCAAUGCAUGGCUUGUUCAAGCCCUUUUUCCUCACACAGCCCCUGCUCCCCCUGUAUCCCCUUUUUUUUUCCAGGCGAAUCCCACCCAUAUGUCACAUAACUCCCAUUUUGAAUAGCUGUGUCAGUGCCUCCAAACAGUGACUUCCUGUUCAGUCCAAGGGUUUUUUCCUCCUUUCCCUGGAGCUCAAUAGCAGACAAGAACAUCCCAAAGGCACCUGAUAAAGAUCAUUUCCAAGUCCUCAGAUGCAAUAAAAAGAAAACCAAACACAGUGCUGGAACAAAUGGAGGAGGAGGGAAGGAGGGACGAUUUCUCCCUCUGUUCAGGUCAUUGCUUUGGGCAGAACCAGCUCAGGAAUAAGAAAGAACGGAACUGGAUUAUGAAGAUUUCCAUUCACUUCUAUGACUGGAUAUCACUUAAUGUUGUGUAGCUUUGCAGGGACAGGAUAGCUCCCUCCUCCUGGCUUUUUCUUCUGAUCCUCAGUUACGUUUCACAGUGAUACUGGAUUGUAGGAUCAAAAGCUACAUUGCAUUGGACACCUAAAAACCUGAGUUUAGUCAAAUGAAGCCUAAGACUAGUUCCCCGUUUUGCAUGUUCAGAACUAACCUCUACCUGAGGUCAGCUGCCUCCUCAUAGGAGAAACCUCAGCAUCUUUAAACUCACUUUACAUUGACGUGGGGCAGGAAAAUAUAAUUUGUAAGUUUUGGUCCUGAGACAGAUCCUAUGAAAUAUA
RNA transcript from Neopsephotus bourkii (Bourke's parrot), 2234 nucleotides. RefSeq lists it as uncharacterized. The record is from RefSeq and is a predicted model, not a curated record. The transcript is spliced from 4 exons. Lineage: Eukaryota; Metazoa; Chordata; Aves; Psittaciformes; Psittacidae.